This 3078-nucleotide ribosomal RNA is filed under the name Rhodococcus (subgen. Prescottella) equi. RNAcentral's name for it is "Rhodococcus hoagii partial 23S ribosomal RNA". It matches the Rfam family "Bacterial large subunit ribosomal RNA". Lineage: Bacteria; Bacillati; Actinomycetota; Actinomycetes; Mycobacteriales; Nocardiaceae. The record is from RNAcentral.
ACAGUGGACGCGAGCAUCUUUGUUGUAAGUGUUUAAGAGCGUACGGUGGAUGCCUUGGCACCAGGAGCCGAUGAAGGACGUAGGAGGCUGCGAUAAGCCUCGGGGAGCUGUCAACCGAGCUGAGAUCCGAGGAUGUCCGAAUGGGGAAACCCAGCCACAGUGAUGUGUGGUUACCCGCGCCUGAAUAUAUAGGGCGUGUGGAGGGAACGUGGGGAAGUGAAACAUCUCAGUACCCACAGGAAGAGAAAACAACAUGUGAUUCCGUGAGUAGUGGCGAGCGAAAGCGGAAGAGGCUAAACCAUGGGUGUGUGAUAGCCGGCGGGCGUUGCAUUCGUGGGGUUGUGGGAUCCGUCUUGUCAAUUCUGCCGGAUUGGCCGACAGUGAGAAAUCAUCGUGUUAGUCGAAGUGGUCUGGAACGGCCUGUCGUAGAGGGUGAGAGUCCCGUAGACGAAAACAUGGUGACUGUCGUGACGGACACCCGAGUAGCAGCGGGCCCGUGAAAUCUGCUGUGAAUCUGUCGGGACCACCCGAUAAGCCUGAAUACUCCCUGGUGACCGAUAGCGGACUAGUACCGUGAGGGAAAGGUGAAAAGUACCCCGGGAGGGGAGUGAAAUAGUACCUGAAACCGUGCGCUUACAAUCCGUCAGAGCCUGCGCCACUUUGGUGGGUGGGUGAUGGCGUGCCUUUUGAAGAAUGAGCCUGCGAGUUAGCGGCAUGUCGCGAGGUUAACCCGUGUGGGGUAGCCGUAGCGAAAGCGAGUCCGAAUAGGGCGUUUGUAGUGGCAUGUUCUAGACCCGAAGCGGAGUGAUCUACCCAUGGCCAGGGUGAAGCGACGGUAAGACGUCGUGGAGGCCCGAACCCACUUAGGUUGAAAACUGAGGGGAUGAGCUGUGGGUAGGGGUGAAAGGCCAAUCAAACUCCGUGAUAGCUGGUUCUCCCCGAAAUGCAUUUAGGUGCAGCGUCGCGUGUUUCACUCUGGAGGUAGAGCUACUGGAUGGCCGAUGGGCCCCACAAGGUUACUGACGUCAGCCAAACUCCGAAUGCCAGAGUGUGAGAGCGCGGCAGUGAGACUGCGGGGGAUAAGCUUCGUAGUCGAGAGGGAAACAGCCCAGAUCGCCGGCUAAGGCCCCUAAGCGUGUACUAAGUGGAAAAGGAUGUGGGGUCGCGAAGACAACCAGGAGGUUGGCUUAGAAGCAGCCACCCUUGAAAGAGUGCGUAAUAGCUCACUGGUCAAGUGAUCCUGCGCCGACAAUGUAGCGGGGCUCAAGUACACCGCCGAAGCCGCGGCAUUCACAUAACACCCAUGCGGGUCUACGGGCCUGUGUGCAGUGGUGUGGAUGGGUAGGGGAGCGUCGUGCAGCCAUGGAAGCGCCGGAGUGAUCCAGGUGUGGAGGCUGCACGAGUGAGAAUGCAGGCAUGAGUAGCGAAAGACGAGUGAGAAACUCGUCCGCCGAAUGACCAAGGGUUCCUGGGCCAGGUUAAUCCGCCCAGGGUGAGUCGGGACCUAAGGCGAGGCCGACAGGCGUAGUCGAUGGACAACGGGUUGAUAUUCCCGUACCCGUGUGAACGCGCCCCUGGUGAAUCAGUGAUGCUAAGCGCCCUGAAGCCGCCUUCGAACCUUCGGGUUCUCCGGUGUGUGGAUGCGCGUGAACCGAUCUGGUAGUAGCCAAGCGAUGGGGUGACGCAGGAAGGUAGCUGAGCCAGUCAGUGGUAAUACUGGUGUAAGCGUGUAGGGCGUGACCUAGGCAAAUCCGGGUCACAUACAGCCUGAGACGUGAUGCGUAGCCGAUUGAGGCGAAUUCAGUGAUCCUAUGCUGCCGAGAAAAGCCUCUAGCGAGCUUUCACACGGCCCGUACCCCAAACCGACACAGGUGGUCAGGUAGAGAAUACUAAGGCGAUCGAGAUAACUGUGGUUAAGGAACUCGGCAAAAUGCCCCCGUAACUUCGGGAGAAGGGGGGCCUCGUCUGGUGACGGAACUUGCUUCCUGAGCUGGGUGGGGCCGCAGAGACCAGAGAGAAGCGACUGUUUACUAAAAACACAGGUCCGUGCGAAGUCGUAAGACGAUGUAUACGGACUGACGCCUGCCCGGUGCUGGAAGGUUAAGAGGACCGGUUAGCCAGUAAUGGCGAAGCUGAGAAUUUAAGCCCCAGUAAACGGCGGUGGUAACUAUAACCAUCCUAAGGUAGCGAAAUUCCUUGUCGGGUAAGUUCCGACCUGCACGAAUGGCGUAACGACUUCUCUGCUGUCUCAACCACAGACUCGGCGAAAUUGCAUUACGAGUAAAGAUGCUCGUUACGCGCGGCAGGACGAAAAGACCCCGGGACCUUCACUAUAGCUUGGUAUUGGUGUUCGGUUCGGUUUGUGUAGGAUAGGUGGGAGACUGUGAAGCGGGCACGCCAGUGUUCGUGGAGUCGUUGUUGAAAUACCACUCUGAUCGUAUUGGACAUCUAACCUCGGACCAUGAUCUGGUUCAGGGACAGUGCCUGGUGGGUAGUUUAACUGGGGCGGUUGCCUCCCAAAAUGUAACGGAGGCGCCCAAAGGUUCCCUCAGCCUGGUUGGCAAUCAGGUGUCGAGUGCAAGUGCACAAGGGAGCUUGACUGUGAGACUGACAGGUCGAGCAGGGACGAAAGUCGGGACUAGUGAUCCGGCACCGGCAAGUGGAAGCGGUGUCGCUCAACGGAUAAAAGGUACCCCGGGGAUAACAGGCUGAUCUUCCCCAAGAGUCCAUAUCGACGGGAUGGUUUGGCACCUCGAUGUCGGCUCGUCGCAUCCUGGGGCUGGAGUAGGUCCCAAGGGUUGGGCUGUUCGCCCAUUAAAGCGGCACGCGAGCUGGGUUUAGAACGUCGUGAGACAGUUCGGUCUCUAUCCGCCGCGCGCGUUAGAAACUUGAGGAAGGCUGUCCCUAGUACGAGAGGACCGGGACGGACGAACCUCUGGUGUGCCAGUUGUUCCGCCAGGAGCACUGCUGGUUAGCUACGUUCGGAAGGGAUAACCGCUGAAAGCAUCUAAGCGGGAAGCCUGUUCCAAGAUGAGGUUUCUCACCCCUCGAGGGGGUAAGGCCCGGCAGACCACCGGG